ACCUGUCCCUCCCAAACACGUACUCUCUCCCGACUCGACCCCAUCGGCCUCAUCCCCACUCAAUCUCCGCCUCGAUCCACCGCCCUCUUCUCGAAGCUUCUCAAGCCUCUCCGAAGACUUCACCAGUCCGGUCGUCUGCCGGCACUGCAGGGAUGAUCGACAGGUCCUGCGUCACCGAGGGUUUCGCCAGUCCCGGCGUCCACCGUCAUGGCCACGGCCACGGCCACCGACCAAUGCGUCACGAGGCCGUGGAGGAUUAGCGCCGGGGGCGUCACCUCGCGUAGGUGGGAGCCAGGCCGAUGGGUGCCUAUGUCGGCGGGAGGAGGCGCUGGGAAUCCAUGCCGCUGGCAGGAGUGCCCCCGAGAGAUGGUGCUGGGAGACCCGCUGAGUGGGGCCAACUCGCUGCUGUUCUACGGCGGACCAGCCGACGAGAUCCAACAGCAGAAAACCGCUCUGACAACGAGGCCCUUCCGAUCCAUUCUCCCCACAGCCCAUCCAUACUUCCAAAUUCCUACUCACGACAUAACAGCAAGAUGGCGUUCUACAUAGAAUCGGGUUAAUUGUAUAUUGCGUCAUGCAUCAAAGAAGAGGUGUUUUUACUGGCUUGCUAUAAAUUUUGCUCAUACGGAUAUGCUCCAUAUUUAACGAGAUACAUCUCUUCUACAGAAGACACCAAUUCCUGGUCUUAUUCUAAUUUUAUCGAGAAGUUUCUCUUCUUUAUUUACCUGUUUUUCUGCACAUUGAACUCAUGGCAACUUUGUGGCCAGGUUCCGAUGCUUCUAGGCAUGAAUCAUGAAGGGAUCAAUUUGUAAGGAGUGGUGAGCCAUGCUCGCCUUCUGUACCGCUGGCUGAUACGCUGCAGUCACCUUCCACGGCUCUGCUGCUACCCAUAGGAUUGCCUCAAGGGUCUGCUCCUGCGCGUCGAGCUUGGCCACGGACGAAGACUACAAAGGUGAUGACGCCGUUGAUUGGAUCAGUAAGCUGCCCCUCUCCCUCUCAGAAACUGCUUGGUGAGCUAGCUCUCCCCAAGAUGCCUAAUAUCCACACAAAAAAAGGCAACGUCCACAUGAUUAUAUGGUGAGCUAGCUGUCCACUAAUGUUGCUUUCCGACCUUUGUAGGAAAAAAUUAGAUUGGUAUGGAUUUAGAUGGUCCUCUUAGAUAUGGGCUUACAUGUUUUCUUAGACGUGGAUUUAGGUGGCCACAACAUCAUGAAGGUUAUCAUGUGAUAAGUACUGUAUCAGGCAGUUCUGAACAUCACUGGUUUCCAAAACAUGCCAUGGUAAGAUAUUGAUCCAAUACAAUGUAUUAUAUAUGCAGCAAAACUACCAUUGUGCCUCGGGUGAGCACCCAUCCAGUUCAUUGGCAUGAUAGUUGACCGGUUCCCAGCACCAACAAAGAUGGAACUGUGAGCUAAUCGAUGUCAGGUUUAGGAUGCAGUGAUAAUAAUGAGGUCACUAUGAAUGCAUGGUUAGUUUAAAAUAAUAAAGAAGCAGCUCUAUUUGAUAGGUAAGCGAUGGUUUCGUUCUGUUGCAGGGUGACAGUAGCGUCGCUGAUGUAAAUGCAAAUCCCCCAAGGAACUGUGUUCCCAGAUGAGUACUGAUCAUCAUGCUGAGUAUGCCUGCAGGCAUGUACAAAGAAACACGGUACCUCACAACCCUGACGUUUAGCUUGCCAUCGCCAAAGAGAGGUGAGUCGAGAGUGUGCCCAGCUGAUUGUGGAUGACAGGAAUUCUCAGGAAGACAUCUCCGGACUUUUCCCCAGGAGAAGGGAAGAAGCUGGAUAAGCAUGAUAUGAUGUAGAACAAGAUGGUGGGAAAGGUCAGAGGAUGGCCAGGGUCUGAGGAUGGCCGGUGCUUGCAAGGAUUCUCACAAUUCUCUGUUGGAUGUUAAGAGUAGUUGCGGAUUCCUGCGGAUGAACUAUGCAAGCUUUGGAUAUGCUGUAGUGUUCCCCUCCUCUUGGUUGGCUUUUGAGUUUUCGUCUUAGAAAUUGUAACUGGAUGGUGAAUAGGACCUAUUUUGAUUGCAAGUCAAUGGAAUUAGGGGCAAACCCUUUUCUCUAAGUAAA
This is a long non-coding RNA of Lolium perenne, 2065 nucleotides long. RefSeq lists it as uncharacterized. Lineage: Eukaryota; Viridiplantae; Streptophyta; Magnoliopsida; Poales; Poaceae. The record is from RefSeq and is a predicted model, not a curated record.